UAAACAGCAAAGUUAUGUUGAAUUCAUUGAAUUCUAGGUGCGGUCGCGACCAAAGAUCCGUUAUGAUCCCACCUAUGCAAACGCUCCAGCGAGUAAGAGGAUCGCAAACUAUGAACAUCACAUUUUAACUAGUACUAUAUAUGUAUAUGUCACAUGAUGGAAUGAUGUUUUCUUCUAUCAUUUAAAGAAAUAUCCAAUAUUACUGUAAAUGUUUAUAGCUGCAUAUAUUAGAAAUACUUCUUCAGAAAUUUACUUAUAUAUAUUAUUUAUAUGAUAAAGGUCAUCGGUUGUAUUUAGAAAAGAAUAUUCAAGUUUAUCAUUAGAAGAGUAAAAAUAGAAAAUCAAACUGCAAUCUGCUAUCUUUUAACAUUUGCACGGUUCAAAUUUCAAUAUACAAUGCAACGUUGUUAUACUUUAGAAAUAAUCGCAACAAUGUGCAUGAUUCAAAGUAAAAUUAUCCAGCUGACUAGACAUCCAACUGACAAUUAUUCGAGUUUUCAUCUUUACGUAAUCGUCGUGAUCGCGCGUGGCCACAAACCAUAGGAUAGGCGAGGUAAGAAGAAAGAGGAAGCGAGAUAUCGGAUUUAGGCCGCCGUUCCAAACAACAAUAUAUAUGUUGUAUGUAUGUAUGUAUGUAUGUAGAGGUGAAGCGGUCUCUGGACUAGGCAAGCUGAGCGAAAGAGCUGUGGCAAGGUCUAGGCUGGCUAGCAUUCAAGGUCGCAUGCACAGCGCAAAAGCCCCCGGAUCUAUCCCCGCUCCAGAUUUCUAGCGCCCUUUGCCUCUUCACCUUCUUUGUCGCUCUUACAUAUGCGUACACACAUUUUACUUUCCUCUCUCUUUCCCUCUUUCUCUCACUCCUCUAUCGUUUCUCCCUUCUCCUCGGUCAAUCGAGUCUCUUCUUGCUCUUUCCUGUAAUACACUCUCGCUCCCUCCUGUUCCUCUCAUUCCAUCCUCCUCCCUCUUUCUCUCAGCCCCUUCCUAAUCGCCUGCUAUUCCCCUCUCACGCCGCUUUGCCCUUUCCGCGUGCAACAUCGAUUUACUCAUAAAAAUUCCCCGCGUUCAACUUUAUCACUCGUCUAUUACUUCCUGGUCGAUGUUCGACGUCUCUCGUUCUCGAAUUUAUCGUUGUAAUAAAUGCAACAAAAGCAUGAUCGAUUCGUGGGGUAAUUUAGCAGCAAUGCCUGACGUUACUUGAAUUGCUUAUUUACAUGUCUUCUCAUGCAUUUGCAUAUACAUAUAUACGGAGUAGGCAUGUGUAUUAUUGACACGCGCGACUUGCCAGCUAGGUAUAAAGAGGAACAAGGAUGUGCUGAGUCUAGUAAAGAAAACGGAAUCUCUGACUCGCAGGCGCAAAUUCAAACUUGCUUUGUCCCGCAAACUUAUAUGAAUAAAAUGGUAACAUGGAAUGAAAAAUAGUUUUUGUGAAAUUCUUAUUUGAAUAAGAAUGGUUCG
Apis laboriosa (Himalayan honeybee) is the source of this 1452-nucleotide long non-coding RNA. RefSeq lists it as uncharacterized. The transcript has 3 exons. The record is from RefSeq and is a predicted model, not a curated record. NCBI's taxonomy places the organism in Eukaryota, Metazoa, Arthropoda, Insecta, Hymenoptera, Apidae.